UUUUUUCCCCCCGCGGUCGUUAUUGCAUCAUCAGAGAGAAUUAAAGUAGCAGGUCGAACUGAAAUAGCUGCAAUGGGUAAAUGUAAGUUCAAUGAGAAAGUUCAAUGAGAAAUGGCUCGAGAAUGAUGAAUUCUCAUGGUGGUUGAAGCCGGUGCCUGAAAAUGUGUACAAGGCAAAUUGCGCCGUAUGUCGAAGACGUUUUAAACUGGGUACAAUGGGCAUCAAAGCGGUGGAAUCGCACACGCAGAGUGGGAAGCACUGGGAGUAUGCGAGAGCCCGCAAGAAGAGUUCAAUUGAAGGUUUCUGUUCCACUCUUUCCAUUAGCAAAGAUGUCACCACGGAUGUUGAGAAUCCCCAGCCUGCAACGCCAUCAUCUGACCUACAUGUAGUUUUUGGCUCUACACUAAGAGCUGAGGAGUGUGUGCAGCAGCUUGAUCUGAGAGACAUGAUAUCUGUCUCCAUGGAUGGACCCAGUGUAAACUGGAAGUUUUUAGAAAUUUUCCAGCAAGAACAUUCAGAGGCGUUCGGAGGUGCCCAGCUGACUGUGGUCGGGAGCUGUGGUCUCCACAUACUCCAUAAUGCCAUAAAAAGUGGCUUUAGUGUAUGGCAAAUGGAGAAAGUGCUCAGGGCACUACAUACAGUCUUCCAUAAUAGCCCUGCUAGAAGAGAGGAUUUCUGCACUCUGACCAAGACAUCUGUGUUUCCCCUGCCAUUUUGUGGGCAUUGUUGGAUAGAAAACCUACCGGUCAUCGAUAGGGCUAUUGCAGUAUGGCCAAUGAUCGUGAUGUAUGUGGAUGCAGUAACAAAGAAAAAGCUUCCAAAUCCGAGAACAUCAUCCUAUGACUUCCUUGCAGAGGCACGGCAUGGCAUGAUCCUUUCAUAAUGGCCAAGUUUCACUUCUUCAUGGCUGUCUCCAGGACCUUCUCCACCUUUCUGACUAAAUAUCAGACAGAUGAGCCUGUGUUGCCAUUCAUUAGCAAAGACCUGGUCAUGCUCAUGAAGCCUGCUUAAGAGGUUCAUCAAGGAAGAAAUCCUUAAUGACAUCACUGCACUGCAGAUGGUCAGACUGAACACAACUAACAAAAAAGCAAGAAAACAACCAAAGAAUGUGGACGUUGGCUUAGGAGCAGAAGCAGUCAUAAAGGAUCUCCAGAGUAGCAGCAGAGUAGGUGAGCUCAGUGUGUUGGAGUUUAGAAGGGACUGCAUGGUCUGUUUGACUAACAUCAUCCAGAAAAUGCAAGAUAAGAGUCCGCUGAAGUACACUGUUGUGAGGCAGGUGGCAUGUUUGGACCCAACAAACAUGUUCUCAGACCCUAACUUGUGCCAGGAAAGAAUGAAGCGACUUGUUCAUAGGUUUCUGCAAGACCACCAGCUGCCAGGAGGCAUCUCUGCUGGUAUAAAUUUUUCAGAAAUAUAGCGGAAUGUACAUGGUCACGUUUAUCUGAAGCUUGUUUUCACACAAUUUAGCAGUGAUAGGUUUAUCUGAUUCAGUAUUCUUUCUUUUUCAUUAUGUUAAUUAUGUUAUUUAGUCUUAAUCUGUUUUACAACAGGUGACAUAAUUGUCCAGCAGUUUGGAAACUUCUUGUCUCUGGAGGCAAAAUCAGAGUCAUUGUCUUCUUUCCAACCCAUGAAGACAAGGCUGGAUGUUUUCCUGCAUGGUCUCCUCUGUCAAUCCUACCCUGAGCUCUGGACUUUCUGCAAGAAACUACUGCUCCUCUCCCAUGGCCAAGCAACAGUGGAGAGGGGCUUUUCUGUUAACAAGGAGGUAGAGGCUGAUAAUAUACAGGAGGACACAGUUGUUGCUCAGAGGAUGAUAUGUGACUAUGUUUCUGUCUGUGGGGGGGUUCUAAAAGUUCCUCUGACAAAGGAGAUCCUGGCAGCUGCAGCUUCUGCAAGAUCUCAGUAUCGGCUACACCUGGAUCAGGAAAAGAGAAAGCAGGAGAGCAAUGCACAAAGAGAAAAGAGAUGGUACUAGCUGAGGUGGCAAACAGCCAGAAGCAGACACACUGGCAGAGAAAGCUGAGGGUAAAUCAGGUACACUCAUGGCCCAGCUAAUCACUAAGUCUAAUAUUCUGAGGAAGCGAUUCAAAGAAAAGGUAGCAGAAAUAAAUCAGUAGAACUCCGGCAUAUUCCAUAAUAUCCAGUCAGCCAUUAUCUUUAUCCUCCCUACCUUUCAGACAAUUUCUGUUCCACAUUUCACAUCAAAAUUGUUCAUUCACAUUGUUGUAAGUCAAAUAUAUGUACAAAGUAGACAAUCUAGAACACAAAUCUACCAGUUAUUGUGAGCUGGUUAAUAAUAGUAAUUAAUGUUGUACAGUGGCUUCUUUGCAGUUAAACAGCUGCUGAAAUUGUUGUAUUUUUGAUUUCUUGGAUAUUGUCUGUGAAAAGCUCACUGUAUAUUGUAAUAAUAAAUAGCAUUUGUUACAGCAAUAAUAUUUUGCGAUUUGUGUUAUGUGCGUGUGUGUAUUUUCAUCGCAGGUUUGGUGGUCUUAAAUUUCAUAUAAGUUGGUAUUAAAAAGGUCUUACAUUUGACUUGUUAAACUCUGUAGACACCCUGGAUUAGAUCUUUUUCUGCAGAUUUGAUACUGUGGAUGGUGUAAAGGAAUCUGAAGACACACCAAGAAACGUGUUAAUGAGGAUAAUGUUUCUGCAAGACUUUCCGAGUCGAACAAGAACACUGUCCCUUCUUCAAGACUGUGCUCUUCAGCUAAAAGGAGUUUCUGCAAGGUUGUUUCAAUUUUCACGUACAGU
Onychostoma macrolepis is the source of this 2751-nucleotide RNA transcript. RefSeq lists it as uncharacterized. The record is from RefSeq and is a predicted model, not a curated record. Lineage: Eukaryota; Metazoa; Chordata; Actinopteri; Cypriniformes; Cyprinidae. The transcript is spliced from 4 exons.